UGGGGAAUAUUACACAAUGGGCGAAGGCCUGAUGCAGCAACGCCGCGUGAGCGAUGAAGGCCUUCGGGUCGUAAAGCUCUGUCCUCAAGGAAGAUAAUGACGGUACUUGAGGAGGAAGCCCCGGCUAACUACGUGCCAGCAGCCGCGGUAAUACGUAGGGGGCUAGCGUUAUCCGGAUUUACUGGGCGUAAAGGGUGCGUAGGCGGUCUUUUAAGUCAGGAGUGAAAGGCUACGGCUCAACCGUAGUAAGCUCUUGAAACUGGAGGACUUGAGUGCAGGAGAGGAGAGUGGAAUUCCUAGUGUAGCGGUGAAAUGCGUAGAGAUUAGGAAGAACACCAGUGGCGAAGGCGAUUCUCUGGACUGUAACUGACGCUGAGGCUCGAAAGCGUGGGGAGCAAACA
This 401-nucleotide ribosomal RNA is filed under the name uncultured prokaryote. Its description in RNAcentral is "bacterial SSU rRNA". It matches the Rfam family "Bacterial small subunit ribosomal RNA", at positions 355 to 774 of the family's 1533-position model. The record is from RNAcentral.